ACCCCUCCUGAUACAGCCAGGACU
RNAcentral lists this microRNA (24 nucleotides) under Monodelphis domestica (gray short-tailed opossum). Its description in RNAcentral is "mdo-miR-12402-3p". Lineage: Eukaryota; Metazoa; Chordata; Mammalia; Didelphimorphia; Didelphidae. The record is from miRBase by way of RNAcentral.